AUUGAACGCUAGCGGGAUGCUUUACACAUGCAAGUCGAACGAGUGGCGGACGGGUGAGUAAUAUAUCGGAACGUGCCCAGUAGCGGGGGAUAACUACUCGAAAGAGUGGCUAAUACCGCAUACUAUUGGAGCGGCCGAUAUUGGAUUAGCUAGUUGGUGGGGUAAAGGCGCACCAAGGCCACGAUCCGUAGCUGGUUUGAGAGGACGACAGGCCACAAUGGAACUGAGACACGGCCCAGACUCCUACGGGAGGCAGCAGUGGGGAAUUUUAGACAAUGGGGGAAAGCCUGAACCAGCCAUCCCGCGUGUAUGAGAAGGCCUUCGGGUUGUAAAGUACUUUUGGCAGAGAAGCGGUAUCUGAAGAAUAAGCACCGGCUAACUACGUGCCAGCAGCCGCGGUAAUUC
This 405-nucleotide ribosomal RNA is filed under the name uncultured bacterium. RNAcentral describes it as "partial 16S ribosomal RNA". It matches the Rfam family "Bacterial small subunit ribosomal RNA", at positions 30 to 526 of the family's 1533-position model. The record is from RNAcentral.